CAUCACAAAUAACAAAAAAAAUCAUUUUAUGUCAAUUUAUAAUUUUGCUAUCUCUCUUUUCGUUUUGUUCCUCAAAUCAAUUUUUUUCCUUUAAUAUUCAUCUUCUCAAUCCUCGGCGGAUCUGAUUCCGAUAUGUGUUUCUCUGUUACUUGAUUCGUUUACUCUGUUACUAUGUUCUUUGUUACUGUUACUUGCUUUGUCCCAUCGGUACGUUUAAUCUUCUUGCUGCUUUUACGAGCCCGUAAAACGUUACGAUUUCUUUGUUUCAUCAUCGCUUUUUUAUUAUUAAGCUUUUGUGAGAUUGUUUUUGCUGAUAUUUUGUUUUGAUUUGGUUUUUGACAUAUCAUUAACGACCGUGAGACGGGAAGGUCAAGGGGAUUCGGAUUCGUGACCUUCAAGGAUGAGAUGAACGGAAAGGAGCUCGACGGACGUACCAUUACCGUCAACGAGGCUCAGUCUAGAGGAAGCGGCGGUGGAGGUGGAUACGGUGGCCGUGGAGGUGGCGAUUUCUGGAUUAUGAUCUUUAUGGGUUUCAGCCCCCAAAAUCAAUGCGUGGACGGAUUCAGAUUUGUUAUCCUCAUGUAAUUUUAAAUUGUGGAUCACUGCAUCAACAUGGGUUUGCAAGGGACAAAAUAUGGGUAAUCGAUGACAAUCUACCUCCACGAGUUCUUAAAAUCAUCAUUAGUUGAUCUUCAUCUCAAACCAUCGGAAGAGGACUUAAAAGCAAUGGUCUGACAGAUGGCCACUCAACAUUGAUUUCUUUAGAAACAUCAAUGGCAAACUCUUCAGAUUCUUAUUUGCAUAUCAUACUUACCUCGCUGUCUCAGAUAUAAGGGUUAGAAACAUUUGAGCACUUGGAGAACCUCAGCAAAAAGGAGCUUUUAA
Long non-coding RNA from Brassica oleracea var. oleracea, 885 nucleotides. RefSeq lists it as uncharacterized. The transcript has 5 exons. Lineage: Eukaryota; Viridiplantae; Streptophyta; Magnoliopsida; Brassicales; Brassicaceae. The record is from RefSeq and is a predicted model, not a curated record.